GGUGAGCAGUCAGCUCCCAGGCCUGGAGGUUUGGGGUGCAAUUGGGACGUUCUCCCAGAGCCCCCAUGAUGGUGGUUCCCUGGCUCCGGGGAGGAGGUGUGGGCACAGAGCCCUCCUGGUCUGUACAGCUGCAGGAACCUUAAAUGCGUGUGCACAUUUAAGCCACCUUUAAAUGCACUCUGUGACUAGGGCCAUGGUCGGGUGAGGUUCACGUUACACAGCUUGUGCUCGGCUCUGCCAGCCUGAGUGGACAGCAGCGAUGCCCCAGCACCACAGCGAACAGGCACAAGCCCUCAGGACCACAAUGAUGGGCUCAAGACGAUGUCUCCUGGAGCCCUGCGUGUCUCUCCAGGCUCUGCUCACCCUAAACAGCCUCACCUGGGCUUGCUGCCACCCACCCACCUCCAACCCUUGGCCUGGGGCUGUAUUUAAGCUCCCAGCUCUGCUCCUUGCCCUGGUUGGGUUGUGCUUGGUUGUGCUUUGUGGUUGCCUCUGGAGCUGCCUCCUCACUGUGAGGGGUGUUCCUGAGGACUGUCACCAGCCCAGAACCAGCCCUGCUUGGCUCCUGCCUUCCUGCAGCUGCUCCUUGGUGUUUCGUCCCCAGGAUGACUCUUGAUGUCUGAAAGAGGAAGAAUUUCCUGAAUUUGCUCACUGCUCCUGUCCUCUCCCUGCAGACACCUGUGAAUAUCUGCUCCAGGGAGAAAAGAGGUGAGGACACAUGAUGCUUUAUGCAUGCAAGGUUGGUGGCUCUCUACUGUAUGGUAGCAAAUGGUGAGGAGAUGGAGCUCUGCUUUCUGCUGUCAGAAAUCAGAAUGAAGUCUUGAAUUCUUUUGUUUCAGUCUGAUUUACUGUAUGUGCCAGUGAAAGAAACGAAGUGCUCCCAGGAAGAAACAAUUCUUCAUUUGCUUAAUUCAGAGCUCUAGGUUGAAGCUCUUAUUUCAUUUCCAACCUGACUUUUUUUUUUUUUUUUUUUUUUUUUUUUUUUUUAGAGUGUUUAGGCAAACAUGGAGUUCCUGUAGUGCAUGCAAAAUCUUCCACUGCCCCAAAAGGUACCUUACCACAAAAGUUGGUUCGUUGUAUAAAAUCAGCAUAGCUGCAGUUUAUUGGUGAAUCUUUUCAAAGAGGCCAUUUGGAGCUGUAGGACCAUGAUUUUUCUCAUGCUGUUAGCUGGUACAUAACACACUAGGUGCAGUCAAAUGCCGGGUAUGUGAUCCCCACAGGGAGGAUGCUCUGUUUUGAGAGAUGUGGCAGUGACCUGGUGGGAGUGCCUUCCAUCUGAAUUUUGGGUGGCUUUAGGGGAGGCUGUGAAGAGCAAGUUAAGAGAUGGAAGUCAAAUCCCUCACUUGGGAGCAGGUCUGAAUCCUCUGAGAGUGUGGAAUCACUGCCACCCUUGAGAAAAGGUGGGGGUGUAAUUGCAGAACUGAAAAGCCAGCCUGACUUCCAGAGAUGGGGUUUGGGACUGUGAAUUUCAGUCGACACCAAGCUCUGACUCCUAUCAUUUUAGAGUUGUUUCAUGUUUAAACACUGCAAUUGCUGUUAAAUGUGAGUUCUCUGAGCUUUAAUAAAAAUAGCAUCACAUUAACCUAACGAGUUUUU
RNAcentral lists this long non-coding RNA (1596 nucleotides) under Anas platyrhynchos platyrhynchos (common mallard). RNAcentral describes it as "lncRNA (ENSAPLG00000027208.1)". Lineage: Eukaryota; Metazoa; Chordata; Aves; Anseriformes; Anatidae. The record is from RNAcentral.